This 505-nucleotide ribosomal RNA is filed under the name uncultured bacterium. RNAcentral describes it as "partial 16S ribosomal RNA". It matches the Rfam family "Bacterial small subunit ribosomal RNA", at positions 28 to 507 of the family's 1533-position model. The record is from RNAcentral.
GACGAACGCUGGCGGCGUGCCUAAUACAUGCAAGUAGAACGCACAGUUUAUACCGUAGCUUGCUACACCAUAGACUGUGAGUUGCGAACGGGUGAGUAACGCGUAGGUAACCUGCCUGGUAGCGGGGGAUAACUAUUGGAAACGAUAGCUAAUACCGCAUAAUAUUGAUUAUUGCAUGAUAAUUAAUUGAAAGGUGCAAUUGCACCACUACCAGAUGGACCUGCGUUGUAUUAGCUAGUAGGUGAGGUAACGGCUCACCUAGGCGACGAUACAUAGCCGACCUGAGAGGGUGGUCAGCCACACUGAGACUGAGACACGGCCCAGACUCCUACGGGAGGCAGCAGUAGGGAAUCUUCGGCAAUGGACGAAAGUCUGACCGAGCAACGCCGCGGGAGUGAAGAAGGUUGUCGGAUCGUAAAGCUCUGUUGUAAGAGAAGAACGGGUGUGAGAGUGGAAAGUUCACACUGUGACGGUAUCUUACCAGAAAGGGACGGCUAACUACGUG